Molecule: small RNA, 2292 nt
Filed under: Pongo abelii (Sumatran orangutan)
Lineage: Eukaryota; Metazoa; Chordata; Mammalia; Primates; Hominidae
Description: retained intron
Source: RNAcentral
GAGCUACUGCAGGCGGCCAGCGGGGAGCGCCACUCUCUGCUGCUGCUGACCAACCACAGGGUCCUCUCGUGCGGAGACAACAGCAGGGGUCAGCUGGGCCGCAGGGGCGCGCAGCGCGGGGAGCUGCCAGAACCAAUUCAGGCAUUGGAAACCCUAAUUGUUGAUCUUGUGAGCUGCGGGAAGGAGCACUCCCUGGCUGUGUGCCACAAAGGAAGGGUCUUCGCAUGGGGAGCUGGUUCUGAAGGGCAGCUGGGAAUUGGAGAAUUCAAGGAAAUAAGUUUCACACCUAAGAAAAUAACGACUCUGAAUGGUAUAAAAAUAAUACAAGUUUCCUGUGGACACUGCCACUCCCUGGCAUUAUCAAAAGAUAGCCAAGUGUUUUCAUGGGGAAAGAACAGCCAUGGGCAGCUGGGCUUGGGGAAGGAGUUCCCCUCCCAAGCCAGCCCGCAGAGGGUGAGGUCCCUGGAGGGGAUCCCACUGGCUCAGGUGGCUGCCGGAGGGGCUCACAGCUUUGCCCUGUCUCUCUGUGGGACUUCCUUUGGCUGGGGAAGUAACAGUGCGGGGCAGCUGGCCCUCAGUGGGCGUAAUGUCCCAGUGCAAAGCAACAAGCCUCUCUCAAUUGGUGCACUGAAGAAUCUAGGUGUGGUUUAUAUCAGCUGUGGUGCUGAGCACACUGCUGUGCUUACCCAGGACGGGAAAGUGUUCACAUUUGGAGACAAUCGCUCUGGACAGCUGGGAUACAGCCCCACUCCUGAGAAGAAAGGUCCACAACUUGUGGAAAGAAUUGAUGGCCUAGUUUCGCAGAUAGAUUGCGGAAGAAACUCUAAGCAUGGAUUUAUGACUUUCUUUUAGACCUUGUGGGUGUUCAAGUCAAACACAUUUUUGCUGGAACAUGUGCCAACUUUGUGACAACUCAUCAGAUUAGACCCCUUACCACCACCAUUUCAGAUUUAUUUUUUCUUUAUUGGUAAGUGGGUAUGUUGAAUUUGCAUCAUGUAAAUACACAUACACAUGUAACUUGUGUCAACAGCAGCUGUUUCCAUUUUCAGGAGGGAACUGAAUUUUCCCUGUCCAGGACUGUGAAGGAAGAGUUUCUGACGUGUCCUAUAGGGAAUUUCCCAGUGGCACCUCCUUCAGUGGGAGGAUUGCCAUGUGUGUGAGUGGGCAGGGGUGUGUGUGGCAGGGGUAGCGUGCAGUGUCUCAGCUGUCCUCUGUUGCAAGGAUCACAUCAUCGAGUCCCCAACUCAAGUUUAUUGCUUAAUAAAAUUAAUGAUGAUAGAUAACAGUCAUGACUAAUUUUAACUGCAGUCACCAAGUGUCAGGCAGCAAUCGAAGUUCUUCAAAUGGAUCAAGAUGUUUAAUGCUCAUAUCAACUCUUGUUGAUUUUGUUUUUCACAUUCGACAGAUGAAAAAACUGUCUCAGAGAGGUGAAUUUAUGCAAAGUUGCACUGCUAGUAAGUGGUAGAGCUGGAUUCAAAUCCAGGCAGUCUAACCCAAUAGCUUACACCAUUAUCUACCAUGCUAUAGUGACUUCCUAAUUGUUAACAGGAGGGAUUUUAUUAUUACAUUUCUGGGUGAGUUCCAAAAUAUGUUUAUGGAAACAAAAGCCUUCAUAGUUAUUUUUCUAAUUUGUACUUUUUCCUGUUAUCAGGAAUGUUUUAAAAUUGAUGUUUAAACUUGAUGUUUAAAACAUUCCUGAUGACAGGAAAAAGUACAAAUUAGAAACAUAAUAGACUCUUUCUGUAGUCCCUGGCACAGAAAGUGGUCAGAGGCAAAGGUUUCUGUGCUGUUGGGAUAGUUAGGAGACUAUACUUUGGUUGCUCUAUCAUAGCCAUUCAAUCAGCCACUCAACAAAAAUUGAGACCCUUUUAUAUAUCAGGCUCUGCUCUUGGUGCACUUGGACAAAAGUGAAUAAUACAGACAAAGUUACCCUCAUUCAUAGCAUUUGGAUUCCACAGGCAGGGCCGGACCAUAAAUAUGUAAAUGCAAAAUAAAUAAGAUUGUGUUAGAGGCCCGGCAUGGUGGCUCACGCCUGUAAUCCCAGCACUUUGGGUGACCGAGGCAGGCGGAUCACUUGAGGUCAGGAGUUCGAGACCAGCCUGGCCAAUGUGGUGAAACCCCAUCUCUAGUAAAAACACAAAAACUAGCUGGGAGUGGUGGUACGAGCCUGUAAUCCCAGCUACUUGGGAGGCUGAGGCAGGAGAAUUGUUUGAACCCAGGAGUGGAGAUUGCAGUGGGCUGAGAUCGUGCCACUGCACUCCAGCCUGGGGCACAGAGCAACACUCUGUCUCU